Molecule: ribosomal RNA, 1412 nt
Filed under: Allocryptovalsa rabenhorstii
Lineage: Eukaryota; Fungi; Ascomycota; Sordariomycetes; Xylariales; Diatrypaceae
Description: eukaryotic LSU rRNA
Rfam family: Eukaryotic large subunit ribosomal RNA (bases 497-1412)
Source: RNAcentral
UCCGUUGGUGAACCAGCGGAGGGAUCAUUAUAGAGUAGUUUUUACAACAACUCCAAACCCAUGUGAAUUUACCUAUGUUGCCUCGGCGGGGGAACCUACCCGGUACUCCCCGCCGAUGGACCAUUAAACUCUGUUUAUUUUGUAACUUCUGAGUGUUUAAACUUAAUAAGUUAAAACUUUCAACAACGGAUCUCUUGGUUCUGGCAUCGAUGAAGAACGCAGCGAAAUGCGAUAAGUAAUGUGAAUUGCAGAAUUCAGUGAAUCAUCGAAUCUUUGAACGCACAUUGCGCCCAUUAGUAUUCUAGUGGGCAUGCCUGUUCGAGCGUCAUUUCAACAAUCAAGCCCUAUUUGCUUGGCGUUGGGAGCGUAACCUGCCUGGCAGGAUACCUCCUCAAAUAUAUUGGCGGAGUCGCGAAGACCCCAAGCGUAGUAAUUCUUCUCGCUUCUGGUGUGUCGGCGCUGGCAUUCAGCCAUUAAACCCCUAAUUUUUUAGUCUUGACCUCGGAUCAGGUAGGAAUACCCGCUGAACUUAAGCAUAUCAAUAAGCGGAGGAAAAGAAACCAACAGGGAUUGCCCUAGUAACGGCGAGUGAAGCGGCAACAGCUCAAAUUUGAAAUCUGGCCUUACGGUCCGAAUUGUAAUUUGUAGAGGAUGCUUUGGGCGCGGUGCCUUCCGAGUUCCUUGGAACAGGACGCCUUAGAGGGUGAGAGCCCCGUACGGUUGGACACCAAGCCUAUGUAAAGCUCCUUCGACGAGUCGAGUAGUUUGGGAAUGCUGCUCUAAAUGGGAGGUAAAUUUCUUCUAAAGCUAAAUACCGGCCAGAGACCGAUAGCGCACAAGUAGAGUGAUCGAAAGAUGAAAAGUACUUUGAAAAGAGGGUUAAAUAGCACGUGAAAUUGUUGAAAGGGAAGCAUUUAUGACCAGACCUUUGCUAGGCGGAUCAUCCGGUGUUCUCCACCGGUGCACUUCGUCUAGCUUAGGCCAGCAUCGAUUUCUGUAGGGGGAUAAAGGUCUAGGGAACGUAGCUCUCUCCGGAGAGUGUUAUAGCCCUAGGCGCAAUACCUUUACGGGGAUCGAGGUUCGCGCUUCGGCAAGGAUGCUGGCAUAAUGGUCAUCAAUGACCCGUCUUGAAACACGGACCAAGGAGUCGAACAUUUAUGCGAGUGUUUGGGUGUUAAACCCUCACGCGUAAUGAAAGUGAACGGAGGUGAGAGCCCUUAAGGGUGCAUCAUCGACCGAUCCUGAUGUCUUCGGAUGGAUUUGAGUAAGAGCAUAACUGUUCGGACCCGAAAGAUGGUGAACUAUGCGUGGAUAGGGUGAAGCCAGAGGAAACUCUGGUGGAGGCUCGCAGCGGUUCUGACGUGCAAAUCGAUCGUCAAAUCUGCGCAUGGGGGCGAAAGACUUAUCGAACC